RNAcentral lists this ribosomal RNA (249 nucleotides) under uncultured Candidatus Hydrogenedens sp. RNAcentral describes it as "partial 16S ribosomal RNA". It matches the Rfam family "Bacterial small subunit ribosomal RNA", at positions 796 to 1041 of the family's 1533-position model. The record is from RNAcentral. Lineage: Bacteria; Pseudomonadati; Candidatus Hydrogenedentota; Candidatus Hydrogenedentia; Candidatus Hydrogenedentales; Candidatus Hydrogenedentaceae.
CACGCCAUAAACGUUGUGCACUAGGUGUGGGAGGUAUCGACCCCUUCCGUGCCGCAGCUAACGCAUUAAGUGCACCGCCUGGGGAGUACGGUCGCAAGACUGAAACUCAAAGGAAUUGACGGGGGCCCGCACAAGCGGUGGAGCAUGUGGUUUAAUUCGAGGCAACGCGAAGAACCUUACCCAGGCUUGACAUCCCGGGAAUCUCCUGGAAACAGGGGAGUACCCUUCGGGGGACCCGGAGACAGGUGU